RNAcentral lists this transfer RNA (75 nucleotides) under archaeon. RNAcentral's name for it is "tRNA-Ala". It matches the Rfam family "tRNA". Rfam says of the family: Transfer RNA (tRNA) molecules are approximately 80 nucleotides in length. The record is from RNAcentral.
GGGCUCGUAGCUCAGUCUGGCUAGAGCGCCGCCCUUGCAAGGCGGAGGCCUCGGGUUCAAUUCCCGACGAGUCCA